RNAcentral lists this transfer RNA (67 nucleotides) under Ochotona collaris. RNAcentral describes it as "tRNA-Pro". Lineage: Eukaryota; Metazoa; Chordata; Mammalia; Lagomorpha; Ochotonidae. The record is from RNAcentral.
CAGAGAGUAGUUUAAGAAGAAUUUCAGCUUUGGGUGCUGAUGGCGGGACCUUGGGUCCCCUCUUUGA